RNAcentral lists this unclassified non-coding RNA (203 nucleotides) under uncultured fungus. RNAcentral describes it as "sequence contains ITS1". The record is from RNAcentral. Lineage: Eukaryota; Fungi.
GUUUUAUUUAUAUAGCCUUUCGGCCUAAUGAACAUUCGACUAUCAGAGUUUGUGUUAAAAGGAGGGAGGGAUUAAAUAAAUCAACCCCUCUCUCAAAGUGCACAGGUGUUAAAUGGAUUAAGGGAGAGUGAGCACAUGCUUGACGCCAGCAUCAACUCCCCCAAGUUUCAUUAAUGAUCCUUCCGCAGGUUCACCUACGGAAA